Molecule: ribosomal RNA, 303 nt
Filed under: uncultured bacterium
Lineage: Bacteria
Description: partial 16S ribosomal RNA
Rfam family: Bacterial small subunit ribosomal RNA
Source: RNAcentral
AGCAGCCGCCGCGGGAAUACAGAGGGUGCGAGCGUUAAUCGGAUUUACUGGGCGUAAAGCGUGCGUAGGCGGCUUCUUAAGUCGGAUGUGAAAUCCCUGAGCUUAACUUAGGAAUUGCAUUCGAUACUGGGAAGCUAGAGUAUGGGAGAGGAUGGUAGAAUUCCAGGUGUAGCGGUGAAAUGCGUAGAGAUCUGGAGGAAUACCGAUGGCGAAGGCAGCCAUCUGGCCUAAUACUGACGCUGAGGUACGAAAGCAUGGGGAGCAAACAGGAUUAGAUACCCCGGUAGUCCUUGUCUCUUAUAC